Molecule: ribosomal RNA, 274 nt
Filed under: uncultured bacterium
Lineage: Bacteria
Description: partial 16S ribosomal RNA
Rfam family: Bacterial small subunit ribosomal RNA
Source: RNAcentral
UACGUAGGGGGCGAGCGUUGUCCGGAUUCAUUGGGCGUAAAGAGCUCGUAGGCGGCUUGGCAAGUCAGGUGUGAAAUCUCUGGGCUCAACUCAGAGAGGCCACCUGAUACUGCUAUGGCUAGAGUCCGGUAGGGGACCAUGGAAUUCCUGGUGUAGCGGUGAAAUGCGCAGAUAUCAGGAGGAACACCGGUGGCGAAGGCGGUGGUCUGGGCCGGUACUGACGCUGAGGAGCGAAAGCGUGGGGAGCGAACAGGAUUAGAAACCCCCGUAGUCC